GGCUCUGAGAUAAGGGGAAUUGCUGCUGAAGGUUGAAAAUGUUUCUGAAAGUUUGCAGUGUUGGUAGUCAAUAUUGCUCAUUGUUACAAACAUAUAAAGUCCCUUUAUAAGAUCAGCACAUAUUUCUCAGUAUUUCUAAUCCAAUAUUAUUUUGAAAAAGUAACAUGGUGAUUGGUCUCAUUUUCUAGGUGUGUAUAUGCAAUCAGCACAAGAGGGCAUUGAAGAAACACGAUGAAAGUAUAAAAUAUGUCCGUUCUUUAGUUUUGGAGAAGUAAGUGUUUUAAACUUAUUUUCAACCGGUUGAGAAUGUUCUCCUCGUAGUGCGGCAGAUGAGGAUAACCACUCCCUUUAUCCCUCCGUUAAAAUGCGUAACCCAUAGUUUGCGCCACUGGUCUCGGCAAGACAAUGGAAAUAUUUGACUAACGUUAGGUUCACUUAAAUUAGAGUGCCCUUUAAGGACUAUUAGGCUAUUUCUGGUUAUAUUAAUUUAGCUAGCUAGCUAGCUAGUUUGCUCUCAUAAGGUGACGUUAUCGAUAGCGUAAGCUAGCUAGUUUGCUCCCAAGAUGAGCGCGUAUUAUGGAGGUAGCUAUGGUAACAAACAGAAAUGUGUGGUAAGUGGGAGCACAGUCUGUCAAUCAUAGCUAAUUGACAGUUCUCAUUACCAUGCCCAGACAGUUUGGGUGAACUUUUACAACUGCCAAGUAUCACAUUCAACCACCAUGUUACUCCUUUAAUAUAUGUCACAGCAGUGUGACAGAGUGGUUUGAUUUAUGAACUCCUGUUUUAGUCUUCAACUGUAUAAAAUAGUUUGUCAGGAGCUGAAUUUGAGUGUGGAUUUUGGUAUUUAAUUGAGAGUGUAAUUAUGUUGUACUAGUAAAGAUUUGAGUCUGGGAUUAAAUGUGGGUUACGCUGUAGCCUCACCAACCUAGGGGCAAGCCUGAGGACACAUUUAAAAAAACUGAUGAGAGGGGGUCAAAGGUUGAAUUCAAAAGAUACAUGCUAAAACAUACUGGGGAGGAGUCCAUAAAUUGUAGUCCUCCGGUAAACCUAAUGGUCAGACCUUGAGAUUGAAUAAUAAUAAUAAAUGAAUAUUUAUCUACAUUAACACAUCAUGUCUGUAUUUUUAAAAUAUGUUUUGACUCUAUACAUUGCUAAUCAGUUGUUCGUUUUUUUUAACAAUCACUUUGACACUAAUUUGAGAAGCUUGAGGUCAUUUUUUUUUUAAAUCACUUCUUUGCAAUGACACGACUUAACAUCAAAGCAUUAGCAUUUCAAAAUGAAAUACACACAUUACAUAUGAUACAACUGUCUUUUCAUUCAUUACAAUGCAUCUAACUCUCAAUGAAUCCAACUAGUCAAAAUGAUAAGUAACUGUAACUACUCCUAAGGAAAAGUUUUAUGGAAACUGAUUACUGUAACAACAUUCCAUGUUUAGAUCAUGAAUGCUUUAGGAUAAAGAAAUCUCUUCUA
This is a long non-coding RNA of Conger conger (European conger), 1470 nucleotides long. RefSeq lists it as uncharacterized. Lineage: Eukaryota; Metazoa; Chordata; Actinopteri; Anguilliformes; Congridae. The transcript is spliced from 2 exons. The record is from RefSeq and is a predicted model, not a curated record.